CUCACACUACUUUCUUUCUUCCCUUCUGCCCUCUCUCCCUCUGCUGGACUAAAGUGCCAAAGAGAGAUGCCAAGGGGCCGGCUUUUCUGUCCUUUUUUGUUUUGCUUCCUCUGGCCUUGGCUCCCCAGCCCGGCCCCCCACCUUGCUGGGCUCAGGCUUCAGAAAGAAAGAGGCAAGGGUAAGAGGCAAGGCUGUGGGAACGAAAGCAGAGGGAGACAGGGAGGCCGCCAUCUUAGGUAGCUGGCGCCUAUAAAAUGGCCGCCUCUCCAGAGCUGAGAGCUGGCCUGGUUGGUGGACGUGGAGGGAGGUGAGAUGUCAGGGCUUUAUGGCUGACCAGGAACAUUGUUGAGUCUUCCUACUAGUGAAACUGGGAAGAGAGGAUGGAGAGAGAAGGAAGGAGGGAGAGAUGAGGAAGGGGCAGCCCCCGAAGAGAUGUGAGCCUCACACAGGAGCAGCCGCGGUAGAGAGGCCUCCACGCUGGCCUUGGUUCCAGACCCCUCCAUGGAGAGAGAAGGAAGGAGGGAGAGAUGAGGAAGGGGCAGCCCCCGAAGAGAUGUGAGCCUCACACAGGAGCAGCCGCGGUAGAGAGGCCUCCACGCUGGCCUUGGUUCCAGACCCCUCCUGAGCGCCAAUGGUCAGAGGACUUGAAGGACUGGGGGUGACGCAAAAAAUACCGGAGGAAUCAGAACUGGGGGUGUCAGCAGGAGGAGGGAGAGGGUAAGGUGUGGGCAGGCAGGAUCAUCUGCCAGUUUAGGGUGGGGGUCUCUCUGGGGCCUGUGAAGGGCCACCAUGUACUUGAGGCGAAGCUCCAAGUCAUCUCUCCUCAGCCCUGCAGUCCGGCUUCCAUCUUCGUAACUCUGGUGACACUGUGCCCUCUCAGGCCGCUCAACCUCCUCGCUCGGACCCAACGGCCCUUGCUCAGCUCCCAGGUCAGAGACUGGACUGGUGCAUCUGAUUGGCUAAGCCUAGACCCAACGCCCAGGCCCCAGCUGCAAGGAGGGCCAGGAAGGUGCUAUGCUGAAGAGGAAGGUGGAAUACAAAGCUUCUUUGAGGAGCUAACCGUCCAGCAGGGGAGGCAGACACACAAUUACAUGGCAUGUGGAGACUGCUGUCCUGAAGACGUGUGCAAAGUGCUGUGGGAGCAGGUGGGGAGGGAACUGUGGGCCACCUUGGGGGAGUUAAGGAAGGGUUCCUGGAGGGGGCCAAAAUGUUGGUGAUGAAAGAUAAAGGGAAUAAAAGUGAUAAAAGGUAAGCAAGGAGUUGUCAGUCUAAGGAGUUUGAGGAAGUGGGUGGUGGAGAGUGGACAGUGUACGUGAAAGCAAGGACGUAGGGAAGAGCAUGGUGCCUUAGGGGACUGGAACAUCCAUCAGAGGGAGUCUGGGCUGGGGGAGAUGGGAAGUGGAAGCAGAAAUUCCAUUAUUAAGAGCUUUAUCUGCUCCAUGAGGGAGGCUGCAUUUGAUGGGGAUUCUGAGAAGUUAGCUGACAGCCUCAGGGAUGCUGGGUGCAGGGUAUGGCUGCGACAAGGACACCCGCAUCUAGCUGCCCACUGAGCCCAGCACCCAACCAGACACUUAACUGGCUCUUGGCUAGUUCUGAAGAAAGGAAGGAACGUAUGAAAGGCCUGGAAGCCACCUGAGGAAGAGUCUCUGCCUCUCCCCCUCCAGAACCGCCCACGCCCCACAGGAAAUUCCAUGAUCUUUCUUAUUCCUGUCUUGGGAAGUCCUUCCCAAUGUCUAACCAAGAUCUGUACUGCUGAAGCACCAGUUCUUUGACCCUUGGCUUGACAUGGUUAAUUUGAGAGGCACAGCUUCCCUCUACCCCAGGAAGGAAGAAACUGACUUUGAUUUGGCACCCACUUGCUUGUGUAAGCCCUUUCUUAGCCAUUAUCUCAGUUAAUCUUCCAACAGUCCUGAAAACUGGUGAUGCUGUCCCCACUUUACAAAGGCAGAAUCAGCCCCAAGAAGGACAUACCAAAAAGAAGAACCUACUUCACCCUUUGGCCUAGGUUCCCUCUGAGAAGCCUUCCUGGAUUGACUGAAAGAUGUGGCUAAACUCUAGCAAGUUGACCAGCUCCUCCAAGAAGCCUCUGAGCAGGCCAGAAGUAGGCACGCCCUAGCAACCAGCCUGGCAGCCCACUACACCCGGAGCCGCCUGGGAUAAGACUUUGCUUCACUGUUGCUCCCGUGUCCACAGGCUGUCCAUCCCGGCCCAUCUUGGUUUCUCCUUUGUCAUCUGAGCUGAGAUUCUCUGAGAUGGAAGACCCAUCUCGUGUCUAAUAAAGACUCUUGAAUGUUGAACAACAGUACUAGUGGUAGUGGAUGUACCUGCGCAGGGUUGGGAGGGGAGGGACUGACAGAGAGGAGGGCAGUACGGGGCUUCCUCUAAGAGACCAGUGCAUGGAAGCCACCUUUGCCACAGAAGGGGGAAGCCUCGCUAAG
RNAcentral lists this long non-coding RNA (2438 nucleotides) under Equus caballus (horse). RNAcentral describes it as "lncRNA (ENSECAG00000034932.3)". Lineage: Eukaryota; Metazoa; Chordata; Mammalia; Perissodactyla; Equidae. The record is from RNAcentral.